This 740-nucleotide ribosomal RNA is filed under the name Bifidobacterium pullorum. RNAcentral describes it as "bacterial LSU rRNA". It matches the Rfam family "Bacterial large subunit ribosomal RNA", at positions 2176 to 2912 of the family's 2925-position model. Lineage: Bacteria; Bacillati; Actinomycetota; Actinomycetes; Bifidobacteriales; Bifidobacteriaceae. The record is from RNAcentral.
AUCCGUGGAGCCGCAGGUGAAAUACCGCUCUGUUCUCGUUUGAUGUCUAACCUCGACAAGUCAUCCUUGUCAGGGACAGUGCCUGGCGGGUAGUUUAACUGGGGCGGUUGCCUCCCAAAGAGUAACGGAGGCGCUCAAAGGUCCGCUCAGCCCGGUUGGCAAUCGGGUGUCGAGUGCAAUCGCACAAGCGGGCUUGACUGCGAGACCGACGGGUCGAGCGAGGGACGAAAGUCGGAGAUAGUGAUCCGGUGCCGGCGUACGGACGCGGCAUCGCUCAACGGAUAAAAGGUACCCCGGGGAUAACAGGCUGAUCAUUCCCAAGAGUCCAUAUCGACGGGAUGGUUUGGCACCUCGAUGUCGGCUCGUCGCAUCCUGGGGCCGGAGCAGGUCCCAAGGGUUCGGCUGUUCGCCGAUUAAAGCGGCACGCGAGCUGGGUUCAGAACGUCGUGAGACAGUUUGGUCUCUAUCCUCUGCGCUCGUCGGAACCUUGAGGAGGCCUGCCCAUAGUACGAGAGGACCUGGGUGGACGAACCUCUGGUGUGCCAGUCGUCACGCCAGUGGCGCGGCUGGUUGGCUACGUUCGGAAGGGAUAACCGCUGAAAGCAUCUAAGCGGGAAGCCUGCUCCAAGAUAAGGGUUCCAUGGAUCCUCGGAUCCUGUAGUCCCCAUGCAGAACACGUGGUUGAUAGGCCGGACGUGGAAGCCCCGCGAGGGGUGGAGCUGACCGGUACUAACGGACGA